UACGAAGGGGGCUAGCGUUGUUCGGAUUUACUGGGCGUAAAGCGCGUGUAGGCGGGUCGUUAAGUUGGGGGUGAAAUCCCGAGGCUCAACCUCGGAACUGCCUUCAAAACUGGCGGCCUGGAGCAAAGAAGAGGCGAGUGGAAUUCCGAGUGUAGAGGUGAAAUUCGUAGAUAUUCGGAGGAACACCAGUGGCGAAGGCGACUCGCUGGUCUUUUGCUGACGCUGAGACGCGAAAGCGUGGGGAGCAAACAGG
This 253-nucleotide ribosomal RNA is filed under the name uncultured bacterium. RNAcentral describes it as "partial 16S ribosomal RNA". It matches the Rfam family "Bacterial small subunit ribosomal RNA", at positions 524 to 776 of the family's 1533-position model. RNAcentral also lists the same sequence under 1 other name. The record is from RNAcentral.